UUCGGUGUUUGAAAAAGUUUGUCACAUGCCACAACCUCCCUCUCAUCUCAGCCUAGCCCUCUAAAAAAUCCCAACUAGCCCACCUAAACCUACUCUGCGAUCGGUGUCGUCCGAUCACGAUCGGAUGGUCCAAAAAUGGGCAAAAGCCCCUAAACCUAUCCCUCGCCUGCUAUAAAUAGAUAGCCAACAGUCCAUCUUUAAAACCCUAGCCCUAACCCUCCUUAAAAUCCGUGACAGCCGCCACCUAGUAGCCUGCCACCUCUCUGUGCCUCCUCUCUCCUCCCACGAGCAAGCAGCGGCCUGCUCGGGCCCGAGAUGGCCCUAGCUCUAUCGCUGCCCAGCGGGUUCUCGUGAGCCUCGCUACCCUCGCGUGCUCUAGAUCUCGAGCUGCGCGCACUCGUCUCCGCCCCCGGAUGCCGCCGGCAAGCAGGUCACCGGAGACUGAGCCCGUGCCUCCCCGUAUAGCCCGGGCCCGACAGCAUCUCCUCCUAGCUCCGCCUGCCCCGCCAUGGUGUGGCUCGUUGAGCUCGGAUCCGGCCGCCCUGAAUUUUCCCCAGUCGGAUCUCCGCGCCGUCGACCACUGCAUUCGUGCCGCCGAACCACCGCAUCCGCAUCGCCACACCAUCGCACUAGCGCCCCAUCUCCAUGGCCUCACCUGCAUCUUCCCGCUCGGGACCGGGAGGACAAACCCCCACUCUACCACAGCUUGGGUCGCGCCGAGCCGCUCCACGUGGCCCAUCCGGCCUCGUGGACCGCAGCGCACCGGCCUAGCUUCGCGCAUGCGAGCGCCCGGAUCCAACCCAUUCGCGAGUUGCAGGUAUAAGUAAAGCGAUACUUUGACGUGAGCGCAAUGAUUGUUCUAUUUGGAGUUUCUUAUUCUUCUUCAUGGAUCAUAGGAUGCGUUCCAGGGCCGCACCUUGGGAUAGCAAGGAUGGACAUCGUUUUAUCGUUUGGUUUCUUUCGUAGUCGGACCAGGCUCAUCUAUAUGCAGGUUGAAUGUAUUAUUGUAUUGAGAUGUUCAUGAUUAUCUUGUGGUGAGUGUAUGCCAAUUCCAUAUACUCAUCUCUUCUUUACAUGUACUUCUAACGAUAUCCAUUCUUGCAAAACAACGAGAUGUGCUUAUAUCACUGUCGAGGCCCCCGUGCAAAAAUAAGGAUAGGAUCACAUCUUGGAUGUUACAAGGGCCCACCAACGUGUCUAUUGGAAAUAUGCCCUAGAGGCAAAAAUAAAGUGGUUAUUAUUAUA
Molecule: long non-coding RNA, 1245 nt
Organism: Hordeum vulgare subsp. vulgare (domesticated barley)
Lineage: Eukaryota; Viridiplantae; Streptophyta; Magnoliopsida; Poales; Poaceae
Exons: 2
Source: RefSeq, a predicted model, not a curated record